AUAUUAGGUUAAGUUAUUAAGGGCGUAUGGUGGAUGCCUUGGCACUAGGAGCCGAUGAAGGACGUGACUAACUGCGAUAUGCUUCGGGGAGUUGUAAGUAAACUAUGAUCCGGAGAUUUCCGAAUGGGGAAACCUAACAGGUUUUACCGCCUGUUAUCACUAAGUGAAUUCAUAGCUUAGUUGAAGGUAGACGUGGGGAACUGAAACAUCUAAGUACCCACAGGAAGAGAAAGAAAUUCGAUUCCCUCAGUAGCGGCGAGCGAACCGGGAAGAGCCCAAACUAAGAAGCUUGCUUCUUAGGGUUGUAGGACUGAACAUCUGAGUUACCAAGAA
This 333-nucleotide ribosomal RNA is filed under the name Ligilactobacillus salivarius. RNAcentral's name for it is "bacterial LSU rRNA". It matches the Rfam family "Bacterial large subunit ribosomal RNA", at positions 1 to 328 of the family's 2925-position model. The record is from RNAcentral. Lineage: Bacteria; Bacillati; Bacillota; Bacilli; Lactobacillales; Lactobacillaceae.